This is a non-coding RNA of Cinara cedri, 551 nucleotides long. NCBI's taxonomy places the organism in Eukaryota, Metazoa, Arthropoda, Insecta, Hemiptera, Aphididae. The record is from the annotation of a GenBank genome assembly.
GCAUUUGUCGAAUCCUUGUGGGACACCCUGUAUAAUAACAAAACUUGGUAUUGGUUCACAAUUAAUAUAAAUCAAGUAAAUACCUUAACACAAAAUAAAAUCCUUUACCUAAAUGAAAAAAAAAAAAAACGUAUUUUAUUUCUAGGUACAUUGACUGCUUCAAAAAGGAACAUAUUGAAUUAUAUUUAGUCAGUGGUAUUAAUCUGAUAAUAGUAUAGACUGUAAACAUUUGACAUUUCUGAAAAUCAAUAUUGAGAAAUUAAUUUUUAAAUUCCAGAAAAAUAUCAAAAUCCCUGACUUUCCUGACCAAUUUUAAAUCCUGUCUUUUUUAGGUUUUCCAGGUGUGGUGACAAUGUACAAAUUUAUAGUGAGUUUUUAAUCGGCUUUCAGUCUUUGAACCAUCCCAUGUGACAUUUAAAAUAAAAUAAAUAUUAUAAUAUUUAAACUUUUUCAAAUAAUAGUGAAAAUAGUUCCAUUCAUUUUGACAACUAUAAUUUUCGUUAUUUUAGCACUAUUAAAUAUUAUGGUGAUAUUGUUUGGCAAUGCAUGCA